Long non-coding RNA from Carya illinoinensis, 702 nucleotides. RefSeq lists it as uncharacterized. The record is from RefSeq and is a predicted model, not a curated record. The transcript is spliced from 3 exons. Lineage: Eukaryota; Viridiplantae; Streptophyta; Magnoliopsida; Fagales; Juglandaceae.
UGAGAAUUGGAGCAGAAAUCAACUCUUCUCCGAAGGCAUUCUUGAGCGUAUUCCCUAUGAUAUAUCAAAGACGUGAACGGAAUCCAGCCUAACCUCUACUUUAUAUUCAGCAAUGGCUUCUCCUUUAUGCAUGGGUCGAUUUUCUCCUUCCAUUUUCUGAAAUCUCUUGUGAUGCGAAUGAGGAUAGCUUAUAAGUUCAACAAUGAAGAUAUUUUGGAGGAAGGGCAGAUCAACAAUUUCCCUCGUGGUUUGUGAGGUUGGAUGGUGGUGUGUUAAAGAUUGUGAUGCACAAGCACAUAACUUUCUUGCUGCUUGUGGUGUUUUAUGUACAUUAUUUCAUGAUAUUCCAGUAAGGAAUUCUUAAAAUUGAUUUUGCCAUUAGAGGCAGAGAGAGGAGAGGGAGCUCAUGGAGACAUAUUGAGUACUUGUGGUGUUGUCUUGUAGUAUGAAUUUACUCGCGAGCGUUAUUCUUUGGUAUCGAAGUCUCUUGACUUUAAACACCAAUAAGCAUACUCCGAAUGCGAUUUUGUGUAAUAUUUCAUCAAUGUCAGUGAAUAGCAGCAAAUUUUACUUGUGUUUAUAUCUACUUUUCUUAGUUUAUUGUAAAUUCUGAGUGCAAGUAGCGGUUAGGAGAUUAACUUUUUUAUUAUGUAUUCUUCUGAUUAGUUAUAUAUUGGAAUGGUAAAGUGACAAUUAACUUAA